AUUGAACGCUAGCGGCAUGCCUAACACAUGCAAGUCGAACGGAGCGGCGAACGGGUGAGUAAUGUCUAGGAACGUGCCCGGUAGCGGGGGAUAACUACGGGAAAGCGUAGCUAAUACCGCAUACUAUUGGAGCGGCCUAUGUCGGAUUAGCUAGUUGGUGGGGUAAAGGCUCACCAAGGCGACGAUCCGUAGCUGGUUUGAGAGGAUGACCAGCCACACUGGAACUGAGAAACGGCCCAGACUCCUACGGGAGGCAGCAGUGGGGAAUAUUGGACAAUGGGGGAAAGCCUGAUCCAGCCAUGCCGCGUGUGCGAUGAAGGUUUUCGGAUCGUAAAGCACUGUUGUUAGGGAAGCGGUAUCUGAAGAAAAAGCCACGGCUAACUACGUGCCAGCAGCCGCGGUAAUUC
RNAcentral lists this ribosomal RNA (407 nucleotides) under uncultured bacterium. RNAcentral describes it as "partial 16S ribosomal RNA". It matches the Rfam family "Bacterial small subunit ribosomal RNA", at positions 30 to 526 of the family's 1533-position model. The record is from RNAcentral.